This is a non-coding RNA of Danio rerio (zebrafish), 559 nucleotides long. The record is from RefSeq and is a predicted model, not a curated record. NCBI's taxonomy places the organism in Eukaryota, Metazoa, Chordata, Actinopteri, Cypriniformes, Danionidae.
UAGAAAAUUUGCAAAUAAGUGGGUUGCAGACAAAACAACUCAUCUGUCUUCCACAUUUGUAGCAAAAGAAUGCAGAGGCCAUACGAAUUCAUCUUGACUAAGGAACUCUUCACAGCACUGCAUCUGAACAGUCACAACCUAACAAAGCAGCACAACUCAGGAUCAGUGUUAUGGUGCCAUUUUGAAGCUGGAACCUCAUCCUGUGUAAAGAAAUGGCAGAGUUGAAAAUUCACUGUUUGUCUUGUAUUGUGUGUGGCAAAACCUGGGAUAACACAUGGGAGCCUUCCUGGAAUUCCUGACACUUUACACCCAAGUCUCCUCAUGCCAACCGGUUUGCAAUAUGAGAGUCUAGUCACCAUAAACACCUGGACUCGCCAAGCACACUUUGGUUCUCAGUGUUUUGUAAAACUUUUUUUUUUGCUCAUCUUCGGUAGGUACUUGAAUAUGUUUUUGAAAAGUGUCAUAGCUUUUUGGUACUUUUGCUGUUUGAGUUCAGAAAGUUGUCAUUAUAAACAUUUUUGCAAUUGUCAUGAACUCUUGUUGUUGUUGUGAAAGUUUA